Molecule: ribosomal RNA, 161 nt
Filed under: bacterium enrichment culture clone YFZ31
Lineage: Bacteria
Description: partial 16S ribosomal RNA
Rfam family: Bacterial small subunit ribosomal RNA
Source: RNAcentral
UACGGGAGGCAGCAGUGAGGAAUAUUGGACAAUGGGCGCAAGCCUGAUCCAGCCAUGCCGCGUGCAGGAUGACGGUCCUAUGGAUUGUAAACUGCUUUUAUACAGGAAGAAACCCUACCACGUGUGGUAGAUGACGGUACUUAGAAUAAGAUCAUUCCCCC